RNAcentral lists this long non-coding RNA (1274 nucleotides) under Sus scrofa (pig). Its description in RNAcentral is "lncRNA (ENSSSCG00070004746.1)". The record is from RNAcentral. Lineage: Eukaryota; Metazoa; Chordata; Mammalia; Artiodactyla; Suidae.
UUUUCCUCAGCAGUCUUGUCCGGGACCCAGCCCAGUACCCAAGGCUCAACUCCACAUCACUUCCAGGUUCCUGGAAACCAAAGUGAAAAGGGAAACAAUCAGCUACAAGAAACAGUAUUGCACCAUGGUUACAAGAGCAGGUUUUGGCGUAAGACAGCUACUUCCUGACUGCAAGACCUCAGGGCUCUGCCUGUUCCCCAAGGAACCACCACUACAUCAAUAUCCUUGGAAAACAAAGAGGAAAAUACAAGCAGCAGUGCAUUACCAUGAAUGACAAGAUAAAGAUGCCCUUGAUUUCCAGCACCGCCACCAUUCAACCAUCAACUACGGGUUCCGAACACUGUGAGAAGAAGAAAGAAAGAAAGAAAAUGGAAAAAGAGAACAGAGAAUUCAAGUAGUGGGAGCUCCAGACAGUCUACAGGAGUCUUGAAGAAAGCGUUCAUGGUAUCGACACCGAUGAAGGUAAACCUUUCUUCCUCCGUGGCCUGAGCAGUCAGCUCAGCCUGCUGUCACUUUGGAGUCAGACACAAAAGAAAAUUCCUCCCGUAGCCCUGUGACUUAGGUCUGUGUGACCUUGAGCAAAGUUAACUUCUGGGAACCUUGGUGUCCUGAGGAAAUGGGCAUCAUAGCUCCUUGCAGGAGCUUGCACACCUAAAUGAAGGCUGCAAGGCUCACAUGAUCUGAGCAGCCUAGGGAGCUGCCCAGAAUCUGAAGCUAAGCCGGUAGACCCUUGACACUAGCUGUGGGCCCUGGACAGUUGCCCGUCCAUGCCUCAGUUUUCUUGUCUAUGAAAUGGGAAUAUUGCUACCUGCUCAAAGGGUCCUGAUGGAGUUUAGAAUAAGCCAAUAGUACAAAGUACUGAAACAAUGCCUGGCAGAAAAGUGCCGUAUGAGCAUUUGUUAAAUUAAAACUUAAUAUGAAAAGGCAAGUGUUUUCUCAUAUCCUCAUAAGAGGGACUCUUUUUUUUUUUUUUUUUUUUUGGUCUUUUUUGUCUUUUUAGGGCUGCACCCGUGGCACAUGGAAGUUCCCAGGCCAGGGUCGAAUCGGAGCUGUAGCUGCCAGCCUGCACCACCGCCACAGCCACAGCCACAGCCACACAGAUCUGAGCCGCAUCUUCGACCUAUACCACAACUCACACAACGCCGGAUCCUGACCCACUAAGCAAGGCUAGGGAUCAAACCCGAAACCUCAUGGUUCCUAGUCGGAUUCGUUUCCCCUGCACCACGACGGUAAACUCCGUAAGAGGGACUCAAGGACUUAGAAGUUGAUCAAAA